Molecule: ribosomal RNA, 124 nt
Organism: Panthera pardus (leopard)
Lineage: Eukaryota; Metazoa; Chordata; Mammalia; Carnivora; Felidae
Source: Ensembl
GUCUACGGCCAUACCACCCUGAACGCGCCUGAUCUUGUCUGAUCUUGGAAGCUAAGCAGGGUCGGGCCUGGUUAGUACUUGGAUGGGAUUUCUAUUUCUAUGGGAGUCUCGGAUGACUUAGAAG